RNAcentral lists this small nucleolar RNA (140 nucleotides) under Sorex araneus (European shrew). Its description in RNAcentral is "Small nucleolar RNA SNORA29 (ENSSARG00000016808.1)". It matches the Rfam family "Small nucleolar RNA SNORA29". Rfam says of the family: ACA29 is a member of the H/ACA class of snoRNA that guide the sites of modification of uridines to pseudouridines. The record is from RNAcentral. Lineage: Eukaryota; Metazoa; Chordata; Mammalia; Eulipotyphla; Soricidae.
UUUCCCAUUUGACUGCCACAUUUUCUCCUAGUGAUAGUUUUUAGUGGCUAUGCUUGUGGGAUAGAGUGAAGCUGCCGAGAUCUGAAGGGGGAAGAUUUCUCCGUGUCUUCCUUCUAUAUGAAACGGCCGGACAGAAAACG